RNAcentral lists this ribosomal RNA (253 nucleotides) under uncultured bacterium. Its description in RNAcentral is "partial 16S ribosomal RNA". It matches the Rfam family "Bacterial small subunit ribosomal RNA", at positions 524 to 776 of the family's 1533-position model. The record is from RNAcentral.
UACGUAGGGUGCAAGCGUUAAUCGGAAUUACUGGGCGUAAAGCGUGCGCAGGCGGUUGUGCAAGACAGAUGUGAAAGCCCCGGGCUUAACCUGGGAUGUGCGUUUGAAACUGGCAGGCUAGAGUUUGAUAGAGGGGGGUAGAAUUCCUGGUGUAGCAGUGAAAUGCGUAGAUAUCAGGAGGAAUACCGAUGGCGAAGGCAGCCCCCUGGAUUAAAACUGACGCUCAGGCACGAAAGCAUGGGGAGCAAACAGG